UCCGAGUUGACCCCGGCAGUCUCCCAUGAGUCCCCGCCAUUACGCGCUGGCAACAUGGAACGAGGGUUGCGCUCGUUGCGGGACUUAACCCAACAUCUCACGACACGAGCUGACGACAACCAUGCACCACCUGUGAACCGGCCCCAAAGGGGAAACCACAUCUCUCGAGCCCACACGUCCCAUGUCAAGGGCUGGUAAGGUUCUGCGCGUCGCUUCGAAUUAAACCACAUGCUCCACCGCUUGUGCGGGCCCCCGUCAAUUCCUUUGAGUUUUAGCCUUGCGGCCGUACUCCCCAGGCGGGGCGCUUAAUGCGUUAGCUGCGGCACGGAGAACAAUGAAGCCCCCCACACCUAGCGCCCAACGUUUACAGCGUGGACUAC
RNAcentral lists this unclassified non-coding RNA (380 nucleotides) under uncultured Actinomycetes bacterium. RNAcentral describes it as "uncultured actinobacterium contains 16S-23S intergenic spacer region". Lineage: Bacteria; Bacillati; Actinomycetota; Actinomycetes. The record is from RNAcentral.